Molecule: ribosomal RNA, 301 nt
Filed under: uncultured bacterium
Lineage: Bacteria
Description: partial 16S ribosomal RNA
Rfam family: Bacterial small subunit ribosomal RNA
Source: RNAcentral
CAGUCGCCGCGGGAAUACGUAGGUGGCAAGCGUUGUCCGGAAUUAUUGGGCGUAAAGGGCUCGCAGGCGGUUUCUUAAGUCUGAUGUGAAAGCCCCCGGCUCAACCGGGGAGGGUCAUUGGAAACUGGGAAACUUGAGUGCAGAAGAGGAGAGUGGAAUUCCACGUGUAGCGGUGAAAUGCGUAGAGAUGUGGAGGAACACCAGUGGCGAAGGCGACUCUCUGGUCUGUAACUGACGCUUAGGAGCGAAAGCGUGGGGAGCGAACAGGAUUAGAUACCCCAGUAGUCCCUGUCUCUUAUAC